CCUACGGGAGGCAGCAGUGAGGAAUAUUGGUCAAUGGGCUUACGCCUGAACCAGCCAAGUCGCGUGAGGGAAGACUGCCCUAUGGGUUGUAAACCUCUUUUGUCAGGGAGCAACGCCGGCUACGUGUAGCCGUACUGAUAGUACCUGAAGAAAAAGCAUCGGCAAACUCCGUGCCACCAGCCGCGGUAAUACGGAGGAUGCGAGUGUUAUCCGGAUUUUUUGGGUUUAAGGGGUGCGUAAGCGGAAUGCCAAGUAAGCGGUAAAAUCGCGGGGCUCAACCUCACUCUGCCGUUGAAACUGGCGUUCUUGAGUGGGCGAGAAGUAUGCGGAAUGCGUGGUGUAGCGGUGAAAUGCAUAGAUAUCACGCAGAACUCCGAUUGCGCAGGCAGCAUACCGGCGCCCAACUGACGCUGAAGCACGAAAGCGUGGGUAUCGAACAGGAUUAGAUACCCUGGUAGUC
RNAcentral lists this ribosomal RNA (460 nucleotides) under uncultured bacterium. RNAcentral describes it as "partial 16S ribosomal RNA". It matches the Rfam family "Bacterial small subunit ribosomal RNA", at positions 338 to 795 of the family's 1533-position model. The record is from RNAcentral.